UGCAAGGUCACACACACAGAGCUCCUUACUCCUCAUCCCUGGGCAUGUCUAAGAUUGGAGUAUAACAGGGAGGUAAGUUCCUAAAGAACAGGUUUGCUGUGGUGGUACAUAAUGCAAGAGAUACCUGGUGAAGGAAGAUGCCCCACUCAAUGAAGUUUGGAACAGACUCAUGGCCAGGACAAGUUCAAUAUCUGAGGUGAGAUACUUUGAGGUUCUCAUAACUCAACUCAAAUUAAUUUCCA
RNAcentral lists this long non-coding RNA (242 nucleotides) under Mus spicilegus (steppe mouse). RNAcentral describes it as "Nuclear RNase P (ENSMSIG00000013819.1)". It matches the Rfam family "Nuclear RNase P". From Rfam's summary of the family: Ribonuclease P (RNase P) is a ubiquitous endoribonuclease, found in archaea, bacteria and eukarya as well as chloroplasts and mitochondria. The record is from RNAcentral. Lineage: Eukaryota; Metazoa; Chordata; Mammalia; Rodentia; Muridae.